CCUUGGAACUAAGCAUAUCAAUAAGCGGAGGAAAAGAAACUAACAAGGAUUCCCCUAGUAACUGCGAGUGAAGCGGGAAAAGCUCAAAUUUAAAAUCUGGUGGUCUUUGGCCAUCCGAGUUGUAAUUUAGAGAAGCGUCUUCCGCGCUGGGCCGUGCACAAGUCUCCUGGAACGGAGCGUCAUAGAGGGUGAGAAUCCCGUCUUUGGCACGGACAUGCCAGGGCUUUUGUGAUGCGCUCUCGAAGAGUCGAGUUGUUUGGGAAUGCAGCUCAAAAUGGGUGGUGAACUCCAUCUAAAGCUAAAUAUUGGCGAGAGACCGAUAGCGAACAAGUACCGUGAGGGAAAGAUGAAAAGCACUUUGGAAAGAGAGUGAAACAGUACGUGAAAUUGUUGAAAGGGAAACGCUUGAAGUCAGUCGCGUCGACCGAGACUCAGCCUUGCCUUGGCUUGGUGUACUUCUCGGCUGACGGGUCAGCAUCAAUUUUGCCCCUUGGAUAAUGGCGAGGGAAAUGUGACACCUUUACGGUGUGUUAUAGUCUCUUGUCGCAUGCAAGGGUUGGGAUUGAGGAACUCAGCACGCGCCUUUGGGUGUCGGGGUUUUUGCCCACGAUACGUGCUUAGGAUGUUGGCGUAAUGGCUUUAAACGACCCGUCUUGAAACACGGACCAAGGAGUCUAACAUGCCUGCGAGUGUUCGGGUGGAAAACCCGUGCGCGCAAUGAAAGUGAAAGUUGGGACCUCUGUCGUGGAGGGCACCGACGCCCGGACCAGACCUUUUGUGACGGCUCUGCGGUAAAGCAUGUAUGUUAGGACCCGAAAGAUGGUGAACUAUGCCUGAAUAGGGUGAAGCCAGAGGAAACUCUGGUGGAGGCUCGUAGCGAUUCUGACGUGCAAAUCGAUCGUCAAAUUUGGGUAUAGGGGCGAAAGACUAAUCGAACCAUCUAGUAGCUGGUUCCUGCCGAAUUCCCCCUCCAGAAA
This 977-nucleotide ribosomal RNA is filed under the name Russula sp. RNAcentral describes it as "partial 28S large subunit ribosomal RNA". It matches the Rfam family "Eukaryotic large subunit ribosomal RNA", at positions 26 to 980 of the family's 3401-position model. Lineage: Eukaryota; Fungi; Basidiomycota; Agaricomycetes; Russulales; Russulaceae. The record is from RNAcentral.